UUCACUCCUCUCCGUCAAAACUCUCUCUACUUUCUUGACUUCAGCCUUCUGUCGCUCUUCUCCCUCUCUCUGUCACACCACUCUCUUCAUUUAUCCCAAAUACCCUGUGUGCUCUCUACUGGAUCUUGCGUUCCCUUGAAUUUGGUUUCUCAAUUUUCUAAUAAAAUUCUUCCGUUUUUCUCAAAAAAAAAAAAAAAUUUUGAACUUCUGUCAAAACCACACGUCCACACCGGAGAUAGUUUGACGCGGCAGGGGCGGAGGUGGCCUAACUGUCGAGUGGAGGAUUUGUUUUUGGCUGUUGCAGCUACGGUAUGACUAAUCACUCAAACUGGACUGGUGAUGUCUUCGACGGAGUCACCUAAGAACAAGACAUCCACUACCUAGGCGGAAGAUUUUCCUCUACUUCGGCGGAAGACAUGAUGCUAUCUAGGCGGAAGUCCUGGGCUCGGAUGUUUUCUCCCCUCUUCAACGUGCUAGAAAAUGGAGAGCUAGGUUACAAAAGCCUAACGGAGCAUAGCUCAAAUGAGUAAAAUAUCAAAUUUUAAAUUACAGGUGGAUCACCAGCGAAGACCAUGUUGAACUUCUUUCGUAAUUCUCCAAUUGAAAAUGGAGGGAAAACACCUGUGAGAGAUACAAAAUAGCAAA
Long non-coding RNA from Quercus lobata, 645 nucleotides. RefSeq lists it as uncharacterized. The transcript is spliced from 5 exons. Lineage: Eukaryota; Viridiplantae; Streptophyta; Magnoliopsida; Fagales; Fagaceae. The record is from RefSeq and is a predicted model, not a curated record.